Molecule: ribosomal RNA, 459 nt
Filed under: uncultured bacterium
Lineage: Bacteria
Description: partial 16S ribosomal RNA
Rfam family: Bacterial small subunit ribosomal RNA
Source: RNAcentral
CCUACGGGAGGCUGCAGUGAGGAAUAUUGGUCAAUGGCCGGAAGGCUGAACCAGCCAUGCCGCGUGAAGGUCAGUGCCCUAUGGGCGUUAAACUUCUUUUGUGCGGGAGCAAUAAUGGUCACGUGUGGCCAGACGAGAGUACCGUACGAAUAAGCAUCGGCUAACUCCGUGCCAGCAGCCGCGGUAAUACGUAGGGGGCGAGCGUUAUCCGGAUUCACUGGGUGUAAAGGGAGCGUAGACGGCCAUGCAAGCCAGGGGUGAAAGCCCGGGGCCCAACCCCGGGACUGCCCUUGGAACUGCAUGGCUGGAGUGCGGGAGGGGCAGGCGGAAUUCCUGGUGUAGCGGUGAAAUGCGUAGAUAUCAGGAGGAACACCGGCGGCGAAGGCGGCCUGCUGGACUGCGACUGACGUUGAGGCUCGAAAGCGUGGGGAGCGAACAGGAUUAGAUACCCCAGUAGUC